UCAAACUUGGUCAUUUAGAGGAAGUACAAGUCGUAACAAGGUUUCCGUAGGUGAACCUGCGGAAGGAUCAUUACUAAAUCCAAAAAAACAACAACCAUGUUGAAACGUGUGCGUGGGAGAAAAUUUUGCACGUUAGUGUAAAUUUUCACAUCCAUCCCAUUUAAACAUUUAUCAUCAUUAUAUUAUUUGGACAUGAACAUUAAUUAUUUUUAAUAAAUAAUAUAUAACUUUUAACAAUGGAUCUCUUGGCUCUUGCAUCGAUGAAGAACGCAGC
This 274-nucleotide unclassified non-coding RNA is filed under the name uncultured fungus. RNAcentral describes it as "partial contains small subunit ribosomal RNA, internal transcribed spacer 1, and 5.8S ribosomal RNA". The stretch from base 1 to 73 matches the Rfam family "Eukaryotic small subunit ribosomal RNA", at positions 1759 to 1831 of the family's 1831-position model. Lineage: Eukaryota; Fungi. The record is from RNAcentral.